GGGGAGAUGGCUCAGUGGAUAAAGUACUCACCACCCAAGGGUGAGGUCUAGAGAUCAGAGUUCUAACCCCUCUUUCCA
This 78-nucleotide transfer RNA is filed under the name Mus musculus (house mouse). RNAcentral's name for it is "tRNA-Gly". The record is from RNAcentral. Lineage: Eukaryota; Metazoa; Chordata; Mammalia; Rodentia; Muridae.